This 429-nucleotide long non-coding RNA is filed under the name Mytilus galloprovincialis (Mediterranean mussel). Lineage: Eukaryota; Metazoa; Mollusca; Bivalvia; Mytilida; Mytilidae. The record is from RNAcentral.
CCCAACAGUUUAGGAAUUAGGGGCCAAAAAGGGCCCAAAUAAGCAUUAUUCUUGGUUUUCGCACAAUAACUUUAGUAUAAGUAAAUAGAAAUCAAUGAAAUUUUGACACAAUGUUUAUGACCAUUGAAGGAAGGUUGGGAUUGAUUUUGGGAGUUUUGGUCCCAACAGUUUAGGAAUAAGGGGCCCAAAGGGUCCAAAAUUAAACUUUGUUUGAUUACAUCAAAAAUAGAAUAAUUGGGGUUCUUUGAUAUGUAGAAUCUAAUUGGUCUACAUUAAGGUGAAGUGUACGUGAUUAAACUACACAAUAGAUUUUUUAAAAAUUUUACAUGUAGAUUCUGCUUGCAAAAAUAAAUCCGAAAAUAAAAUAAAAAAAGGGGGUUACAAUUUUCGUUUUUGAGAUACGAGCUGUUGAAGUUAACAGCAUCAUAC